GCGGUCGUGGUGGAACGGCAGACACGCUAUCUUGAGGGGGUAGUGCCCAACGGGUGUGGGGGUUCAAAUCCCCCCGACCGCACCA
Molecule: transfer RNA, 85 nt
Filed under: Caldalkalibacillus mannanilyticus
Lineage: Bacteria; Bacillati; Bacillota; Bacilli; Caryophanales; Bacillaceae
Also listed under: 1 other name
Description: tRNA-Leu
Rfam family: tRNA
About the family: Transfer RNA (tRNA) molecules are approximately 80 nucleotides in length. Their secondary structure includes four short double-helical elements and three loops (D, anti-codon, and T loops).
Source: RNAcentral